UACGUAGGGUGCGAGCGUUAAUCGGAAUUACUGGGCGUAAAGCGUGCGUAGGCGGUUCGUUAAGUGCGUCGUGAAAGCCCCGGGCUCAACCUGGGAAUGGCGAUGGAAACUGGCGGGCUGGAGUAUGGCAGAGGGGGGUGGAAUUCCGCGUGUAGCAGUGAAAUGCGUAGAGAUCCGGAGGAACACCAGUGGCGAAGGCGACACGCUGGGCCGUACCUGACACUGAUACGCGACAGCAUGGGGAGCGAACGGG
RNAcentral lists this ribosomal RNA (253 nucleotides) under uncultured bacterium. RNAcentral's name for it is "partial 16S ribosomal RNA". It matches the Rfam family "Bacterial small subunit ribosomal RNA", at positions 524 to 776 of the family's 1533-position model. The record is from RNAcentral.